Molecule: ribosomal RNA, 440 nt
Filed under: uncultured bacterium
Lineage: Bacteria
Description: partial 16S ribosomal RNA
Rfam family: Bacterial small subunit ribosomal RNA
Source: RNAcentral
GCUACGGGAGGCAGCAGUAGGGAAUAUUGCUCAAUGGGGGAAACCCUGAAGCAGCAACGCCGCGUGGAGGAUGAAGGUUUUCGGAUUGUAAACUCCUUUUGUUAGAGAAGAGAAUGACGGUAUCUAACGAAUAAGCACCGGCUAACGCCGUGCCAGCAGCCGCGGUAAUACGGAGGGUGCAAGCGUUACUCGGAACCACUGGGCGUAAAGAGCGCGUAGGCGGGAUAGCAAGUCAGAUGUGAAAUCCUAGGGCUUACCCAUAGAACUGCAUUUGAAACUGUUAUUCUAGAGUAUGGGAGAGGUAGGUGGCAUUCUUGGUGUAGUGGUCACAUCCGUAGAGAUCAAGAGGAAUACUCAUUGCGAAGGCGACCUGCUAGAACAUACCUGACGCUGAUGCGCGAAAGCGUGGGGAGCAAACAGGAUUAGCUACCCGUGUAGUC